UCAGUCGAAUUAAAUUAAAUUGAAUGGGAUUAAGUGUUCUAAUUAAUUGUGGAGGGGUUAAAGUGUACAAUAACUUCUUUGUAAGGGGUAAGAGUGCAAUUUAACAACCCCAAUUUUUUUUUACAGAGAGACCAAUGUUUGUCACCUUCAAUCAUUCACUGCGCCUCUAUCACUAUCCCGUCUUCAAAAUUGUUGCUGCGUUGGAAUUCGAUUCUGUAAUGAGAUUGUUAUGAUCCAUUUAUAUGAUUUCGGAUCCCAGAAGCUUCGUUAAUGUGUGGGAAAUUGUUGGCUUAGCUGCCAAUUGAAGAUAUAACACCGAUUCACUGAGGAAGUCAAGAUUGAAUCAAUCUCCACAUGAUCUUUAAAAUGUUAGUGUACUUUGUGCACUGGCACAGGAACAGAAAGAGGUCGUCUCGUUGGGGCUAUGAAAGCUUUGAUGAGCUGGUACGUAGUUGAGGUGUAUAGUGAUGGGUAACGUUAAAAAUAGCGAAUCGUCAUCUGAGAAACAUUUGUGGGGUUCUCGCCGAACGAGAAAGAUAACUUGGAUUUUUAGACAGAGUCUGUGUUU
This is a non-coding RNA of Erythranthe guttata (spotted monkey flower), 568 nucleotides long. Lineage: Eukaryota; Viridiplantae; Streptophyta; Magnoliopsida; Lamiales; Phrymaceae. The record is from RefSeq and is a predicted model, not a curated record.